GUGAACCUAGUGAUAGGAGACUAUCUAGCUUGGUUCGGAGAGCACAAGACUUUGUCAAAAUAUAUAAACUUUCGACAAAGGAGAUAUAGUAUUGGGUCAUUCUAA
Non-coding RNA from Glycine max (soybean), 105 nucleotides. The record is from Rfam. Lineage: Eukaryota; Viridiplantae; Streptophyta; Magnoliopsida; Fabales; Fabaceae.